This 420-nucleotide ribosomal RNA is filed under the name uncultured bacterium. RNAcentral's name for it is "bacterial SSU rRNA". It matches the Rfam family "Bacterial small subunit ribosomal RNA", at positions 357 to 774 of the family's 1533-position model. The record is from RNAcentral.
AGGAAUAUUGGACAAUGGAGGCAACUCUGGUCCAGCCAUGCCGCGUGAAGGAAUAAGGCCCUAUGGGUUGUAAACUUCUUUUAGACGGGACAAAACCCCUUUACGUGUAAAGGGUUGAUGGUACUGUCAGAAUAAGCAUCGGCUAACUUCGUGCCAGCAGCCGCGGUAAUACGAAGGAUGCAAGCGUUAUCCGGAAUUAUUGGGUUUAAAGGGUGCGUAGGCGGACUAAUAAGUCAGUGGUGAAAGCCUGCAGCUUAACUGCAGAAUUGCCAUUGAUACUGUUAGUCUUGAGUACAGUUGAGGUAGGCGGAAUGUGUCAUGUAGCGGUGAAAUGCUUAGAUAUGACACAGAACACCGAUUGCGAAGGCAGCUUGCUAGGCUGUAACUGACGCUGAGGCACGAAAGCGUGGGGAGCAAACA